CCAAAAGAAGAAGAAGAAGCUUGAGAUGCACCAUUGGUGGUACUGCCUCUUUUUGUGGCUCCUUCCAUUGUGAAUUGACGGAUCGUUGUUUCUGGUUUUCUGGCUGCUGUAUGUUGGACGCUCACGGUGGUUUACAGGUAACUGCACGUGCAAGGGUGGCUGUGAUUUUGGUUAGUUUGGGGCAGAAUACAUCUACUGCUGUGACGGCGCUGCUGUUUUGCCUGGGUCUCAUCUUGAUUUAAUUUGGUUACGUGUGUGUGUGUAUUGUGGUUGUGAGUUAUUUGUUUCCUUGAGCAAAUAUUUGACUAUCUGUGGUUUUGUUUCGGAGUGUAAUUGUUUAGGUUUUUGUUUUGUGUGUGGGGUGUUUUGUAAUUUCUCGUAUUUUUCAGUCAACUUGUGUAGUG
This is a long non-coding RNA of Sinocyclocheilus grahami, 404 nucleotides long. RefSeq lists it as uncharacterized. The transcript is spliced from 3 exons. NCBI's taxonomy places the organism in Eukaryota, Metazoa, Chordata, Actinopteri, Cypriniformes, Cyprinidae. The record is from RefSeq and is a predicted model, not a curated record.